This 253-nucleotide ribosomal RNA is filed under the name uncultured bacterium. Its description in RNAcentral is "partial 16S ribosomal RNA". It matches the Rfam family "Bacterial small subunit ribosomal RNA", at positions 524 to 776 of the family's 1533-position model. The record is from RNAcentral.
UACGAAGGGGGCUAGCGUUGUUCGGAAUUACUGGGCGUAAAGGGCGCGUAGGCGGUGUGUCAAGUCAGGCGUGAAAGCCCCGGGCUCAACCUGGGAAUUGCGAUGGAGACUGCAAGGCUUGAAUCUGGCAGAGGGGGGUAGAAUUCCACGUGUAGCAGUGAAAUGCGUAGAGAUGUGGAGGAACACCGAUGGCGAAGGCAGCCCCCUGGGUCAAGAUUGACGCUCAUGCACGAAAGCGUGGGGAGCAAACAGG